AACAGUCUUCUUCAUUCA
Molecule: small RNA, 18 nt
Filed under: Arabidopsis thaliana (thale cress)
Lineage: Eukaryota; Viridiplantae; Streptophyta; Magnoliopsida; Brassicales; Brassicaceae
Description: ATSL303750
Source: RNAcentral